CGCGGCCUAUCAGCUUGUUGGUGAGGUAAUGGCUUACCAAGGCUUCGACGGGUAACCGGCCUGAGAGGGUGACCGGUCACACUGGGACUGAGACACGGCCCAGACUCCUACGGGAGGCAGCAGUGGGGAAUAUUGCACAAUGGGCGAAAGCCUGAUGCAGCGACGCCGCGUGAGGGAUGACGGCCUUCGGGUUGUAAACCUCUUUCAGUCAGGAACAAGCCUUCGGGUGAGGGUACUGGCAGAAGAAGCACCGGCUAACUACGUGCCAGCAGCCGCGGUAAUACGUAGGGUGCGAGCGUUAUCCGGAAUUAUUGGGCGUAAAGAGCUUGUAGGCGGUUUGUCGCGUCUGCUGUGAAAGCCCGGGGCUUAACUCCGGGUCUGCAGUGGGUACGGGCAGGCUAGAGUGAUGUAGGGGUAACUGGAAUUCCUGGUGUAGCGGUGGAAUGCGCAGAUAUCAGGAAGAACACCGAUGGCGAAGGCAGGUUACUGGGCAUUUACUGACGCUGAGAAGCGAAAGCAUGGGGAGCGAACAGGAUUAGAUACCCUGGUAGUCCAUGCCGUAAACGUUGGGCACUAGGUGUGGGGAGCAUUCCACGUGUUCCGCGCCGUAGCUAACGCAUUAAGUGCCCCGCCUGGGGAGUACGG
RNAcentral lists this ribosomal RNA (645 nucleotides) under uncultured bacterium. Its description in RNAcentral is "bacterial SSU rRNA". It matches the Rfam family "Bacterial small subunit ribosomal RNA", at positions 232 to 885 of the family's 1533-position model. The record is from RNAcentral.